This 1316-nucleotide ribosomal RNA is filed under the name Proteus mirabilis. Its description in RNAcentral is "partial 23S ribosomal RNA". It matches the Rfam family "Bacterial large subunit ribosomal RNA", at positions 588 to 1890 of the family's 2925-position model. The record is from RNAcentral. Lineage: Bacteria; Pseudomonadati; Pseudomonadota; Gammaproteobacteria; Enterobacterales; Morganellaceae.
AUGGGGUGACUGCGUACCUUUUGUAUAAUGGGUCAGCGACUUAUAUUCUGUAGCAAGGUUAACCGUAUAGGGGAGCCGUAGGGAAACCGAGUCUUAACUGGGCGAAUGAGUUGCAGGGUAUAGACCCGAAACCCGGUGAUCUAUCCAUGGGCAGGUUGAAGGUUGGGUAACACUAACUGGAGGACCGAACCGACUAAUGUUGAAAAAUUAGCGGAUGACUUGUGGAUGGGGGUGAAAGGCCAAUCAAACCGGGAGAUAGCUGGUUCUCCCCGAAAGCUAUUUAGGUAGCGCCUCGUGAACUCAUCUUCGGGGGUAGAGCACUGUUUCGACUAGGGGGUCAUCCCGACUUACCAACUCGAUGCAAACUGCGAAUACCGAAGAAUGUUAUCACGGGAGACACACGGCGGGUGCUAACGUCCGUCGUGAAGAGGGAAACAACCCAGACCGCCAGCUAAGGUCCCAAAGUCAUGGUUAAGUGGGAAACGAAGUGGGAAGGCUCAGACAGCCAGGAUGUUGGCUUAGAAGCAGCCAUCAUUUAAAGAAAGCGUAAUAGCUCACUGGUCGAGUCGGCCCGCGCGGAAGAUGUAACGGGGCUAAACCAUGCACCGAAGCUGCGGCAGCGACACAAAGUGUUGUUGGGUAGGGGAGCGUUCUGUAAGCCUGCGAAGGUGUACUGUGAGGUAUGCUGGAGGUAUCAGAAGUGCGAAUGCUGACAUAAGUAACGAUAAUGCGGGUGAAAAACCCGCACGCCGGAAGACCAAGGGUUCCUGUCCAACGUUAAUCGGGGCAGGGUGAGUCGACCCCUAAGGCGAGGCUGAAAAGCGUAGUCGAUGGGAAACGGGUUAAUAUUCCCGUACUGGUGGUAACUGCGAUGGGGGAACGGAGAAGGCUAGGUUGUCCGGGCGACGGUCGUCCCGGUUCAAGCAGGUAGGCAGAGUGAUUAGGCAAAUCCGGUCACUUAAUGCUGAGAUGUGAUGACGAACCACCAAGGUGGUGAAGCAAUUGAUGCCCCGCUUCCAGGAAAAGCCUCUAAGCUUCAGGUUACCAACAAUCGUACCCCAAACCGACACAGGUGGUCAGGUAGAGAAUACUCAGGCGCUUGAGAGAACUCGGGUGAAGGAACUAGGCAAAAUGGUGCCGUAACUUCGGGAGAAGGCACGCUGGCGGUAGGUAAAGUCCCUCGCGGACGGCGCUGAAGCCAGUCGAAGAUACCAGCUGGCUGCAACUGUUUAUUAAAAACACAGCACUGUGCAAACACGAAAGUGGACGUAUACGGUGUGACGCCUGCCCGGUGCUGGAAGGUUAAUUGAUGGGGU